GACGAACGCUGGCGGCGUGCUUAACACAUGCAAGUCGAACGGAAAGGCCCUGCUUUUGUGGGGUGCUCGAGUGGCGAACGGGUGAGUAACACGUGAGUAACCUGCCCUUGACUUUGGGAUAACUUCAGGAAACUGGGGCUAAUACCGGAUAGGAGCUCCUGCUGCAUGAUGGGGGUUGGAAAGUUUCGGCGGUUGGGGAUGGACUCGCGGCUUAUCAGCUUGUUGGUGGGGUAGUGGCUUACCAAGGCUUUGACGGGUAGCCGGCCUGAGAGGGUGACCGGCCACAUUGGGACUGAGAUACGGCCCAGACUCCUACGGGAGGCAGCAGUGGGGAAUAUUGCACAAUGGGCGGAAGCCUGAUGCAGCAACGCCGCGUGCGGGAUGACGGCCUUCGGGUUGUAAACCGCCUUCGCCUGUGACGAAGCGUGAGUGACGGUAAUGGGUAAAGAAGCACCGGCUAACUACGUG
Molecule: ribosomal RNA, 468 nt
Filed under: uncultured bacterium
Lineage: Bacteria
Description: partial 16S ribosomal RNA
Rfam family: Bacterial small subunit ribosomal RNA
Source: RNAcentral